This 72-nucleotide transfer RNA is filed under the name Rhodotorula toruloides. RNAcentral describes it as "tRNA-Ala (CGC) cove score=65.59". It matches the Rfam family "tRNA". From Rfam's summary of the family: Transfer RNA (tRNA) molecules are approximately 80 nucleotides in length. Their secondary structure includes four short double-helical elements and three loops (D, anti-codon, and T loops). Lineage: Eukaryota; Fungi; Basidiomycota; Microbotryomycetes; Sporidiobolales; Sporidiobolaceae. RNAcentral also lists the same sequence under 2 other names. The record is from RNAcentral.
GGGGGUGUAGCUCAGUGGUAGAGCGCGCGCUUCGCAUGCGCGAGGCCCGGGGUUCAAUCCCCCGCUCCUCCA